UACUUUUGCACCCACAAAAUAUUUGUACAUAAUAAUCAUUAAAUUAAUAUUGGAAUG
Capnocytophaga sp. oral taxon 329 is the source of this 57-nucleotide non-coding RNA. Lineage: Bacteria; Pseudomonadati; Bacteroidota; Flavobacteriia; Flavobacteriales; Flavobacteriaceae. The record is from Rfam.